This 498-nucleotide ribosomal RNA is filed under the name Ateleute sp. 10 BFS-2018. RNAcentral's name for it is "partial 16S large subunit ribosomal RNA". Lineage: Eukaryota; Metazoa; Arthropoda; Insecta; Hymenoptera; Ichneumonidae. The record is from RNAcentral.
AUCAAAAACAUCUCUUUUUGAAAAUAAUUUAAAGUUUGAUCUGCUCAAUGAUUAAAAUUAAAUAGCUGCAGUAAUUUAACUGUACUAAGGUAGCAUAAUCAAUAGUUUUUUAAUUGAAAGCUGGAAUGAAGGAUUGAAUGAAAUAAUAAUUGUCUCAAGUUUAAUAAUAUUAGAAUUUUUUUUUUAGUUAAAAAGCUAAAUUGAUUUUAAAAGACGAGAAGACCCUAUAGAUUUUUAUAAUUUAUUUAAAUAAUAAUAAUAAUAAAAUUUAUAAUUAAUUAAUUAAAUUAUUUAAUUGGGGAAAUUAUUAAAUUUAUUAAAUUUUAAUUUUUUUAAAACAAUAAUUAUUGAUUAAGUGAUCUUAAGUAUAGAUAGAAAGAAUAAAAUACCUUAGGGAUAACAGCGUAAUAUUUUUAGAGAGAUCAUAUUAAUAAAAAUGUUUGCGACCUCGAUGUUGAAUUAAAAUAAAAUUAUAAUGAAGAAGUUAUAAAUUUUUGG